This is a long non-coding RNA of Quercus lobata, 478 nucleotides long. RefSeq lists it as uncharacterized. The record is from RefSeq and is a predicted model, not a curated record. The transcript is spliced from 4 exons. Lineage: Eukaryota; Viridiplantae; Streptophyta; Magnoliopsida; Fagales; Fagaceae.
AACACACUCUAUCUCUUGCUGAAUGGUUGAACCUAUACACUAUACAGAGUUCGAACCCAUUGCUAGCCCACUGCAAGUUUGCCACUGAUCGUCUCUCCUCUACCACUGGCCAGAUACAGUAUUACCUCCAAGGCUUCAAUGCUCCACACUUGUAUGGUCAAAAGCAAAGCAAGUCUACUGGUGUAGAUUUUCCAGUUGUGUUAGGUUACCUCCAAGGCCCCAAUGCUCCGCGUGUAUGGUUAAAAGCAAAGCAAGUGUAUUGGUGUAGAGUUUCUAGGUUAAAAUGUCGCAUGCCUUGGGUUAUAGUUUUAUAGAUGAUGUCGAGGGGAGAUAUAUUUUAUUGCAACAAGUUUUAGCUUGGCAACAUAUCUUCAUGAGGAAUAUGUUAUUAUUUGAUUAGUAUUUGAGAGAAUAGAUUGGAACUUAAAUUAUGUUAUAUGAUAUUGAACUUGGGUAUUGUUUUUCCUUAUUAGUAGUU